CUCGCGGCAAAGAGUAAAUUCUGCAGUUCUGUGAGCGCGCGGCUUUCUGAAACCGAGACAUCAACUUAACGACGUCGGCAUGGACCGGUGAAAAUUUUGCAGCUUGGUUUAGGAAGACACAGAAUGAGGAGAUUUCUUUUCUGGCAUCUAAUGAAAUUUCAGCUGAACUGCUUCCACUGUUCCGCAGCUCUGCACCUGCUGACCGUCCAGUGACAGAUGUCAUAGUUUUUAUCUUAAGUAAAAUGAGUAAAG
This is a long non-coding RNA of Tachysurus fulvidraco (yellow catfish), 252 nucleotides long. RefSeq lists it as uncharacterized. The transcript has 3 exons. The record is from RefSeq and is a predicted model, not a curated record. Lineage: Eukaryota; Metazoa; Chordata; Actinopteri; Siluriformes; Bagridae.